RNAcentral lists this ribosomal RNA (730 nucleotides) under uncultured eukaryote. Its description in RNAcentral is "bacterial SSU rRNA". It matches the Rfam family "Eukaryotic small subunit ribosomal RNA", at positions 670 to 1426 of the family's 1831-position model. The record is from RNAcentral.
GGGUUUAACUCUCUGUCGGAGUCUUUUUUUCGGGUAUUCUGGCCAGUGCUCUUUAUUGAGUGUUGGUUGGUGACUCGAACGUUUACUUUGAAAAAAUUAGAGUGCUUAAAGCAGGCUAUAAGCUUGAAUAUAGUGCAUGGGAUAAUAGAAUAGGACUUUGGUCUUAUUUUGUUGGUUUUGAAGGCUGAAGUAAUGAUUAAGAGGAACAGACGGGGGCAUUCGUAUUGUUGCGUUAGAGGUGAAAUUCUUGGAUCGCAGCAAGACGAACAACUGCGAAAGCAUUUGCCAAGAAUGUUUUCAUUAAUCAAGGACGAAAGUUAGAGGUUCGAAGGCGAUCAGAUACCGCCCUAGUUCUAACCGUAAACGAUGCCAACUGGCCAUUUGCCGGCGUUAAUUUAUGACUCGGCAGGCAGCCUCCGGGAAACCAAAGUUUUCUGGUUCCGGGGGAAGUAUGGUUGCAAAGCUUAAACUUAAAGGAAUUGACGGAAGGGCACCACCAGGAGUGGAGCCUGCGGCUUAAUUUGACUCAACACAGGAAAGCUCACCCGGCCAGGACACAAUAAGGGUUGACAGAUUGAUAGCUCUUUCUCGAUUUUGUGGGUGGUGGUGCAUGGCCGUUCUUAGUUGGUGGAGCGAUUUGUCUGGUUAAUUCCGAUAACGAACGAGACUCUAGCCUAUUAAAUAGACGAGAUAUUUGUAUGUGUUCCCGUCUUCUUAGAGGGACAGGCAG